GGUUUGCAUUUCAUCUUUUCUUUUCGUCGUCGGUGUUCGGCUUCGUUGCUUCGCAGGAGGUGUAGAGAUUGCACGCGUCGGUACUUAGGCUCCUUCGUGGUUGUUCGACUUCACUCCUUCGACGACUUUCCCUUCCUGUCGGAUCGGAAGUUAGGACAUUUUGAUCGGAAGCAACAACGGUGCUCGCUGGCCGUGAAGAAGAUGGAAGUAGAUAGAAAUAACAUCGACAACGAGAUUAAGAAGGCGCAGGAGGAGCGGCGGAAUAUGGAGAACUUGGCACCUUUAGCCUCCGUGACCUUCGACUCCGAUCUCUACGAGGAAAAUCGCUUCGAGGGCUACGCACGAUCCAUUCCUGUGAAUGAGGACGAGGACGAAGCGGACGGGGAUGCUUCGCUUAUUGGCCGCCGCCGCAUGCCAUCCUAUACGGCUCCCAAGUCGCUGAUAGAUGUCCCUCGGGCGGAUGGUGAGGACGACUCAGGGUUCAAGAAGCCCUCCCGAAUCAUUGACCGUGAGGAUGAGUAUCGCCGCCGACGACUCGAUCGUAUCAUAUCCCCUGCACGUAACGACCCUUUUGCCUCAGGCGAGGCCACCCCUGACCCAUCGGUAAGGACUUAUGCUGACGUCAUGAGAGAACAAGCCCUCCAACGCCAGAAGGAAGAGUUGCUCAAAGCUGCUGCAAAGAAACAUGAGGAGGAGAAAAACAACAAGGCUGCUGCCGCUGAUGCUCCUCCGGCAGCUGCUGCCCAAAAGAGGAGGAACAGGUGGGAUCAGUCGCAGGAUUCUGACGGCGCUUCUGCUGUGAAGAAGUUAAAAUCAAGCUCUGAUUGGGAUGCACCAGAUUCAACUCCUGGGAUUGGGAGGUGGGAUGCGACUCCAACUCCUGGAAGAGUUGGAGAUGCAACCCCUUCAAUUUCUCGCCGGAACCGGUGGGAUGAGACUCCGACUCCUGGGCGGCUUGCAGAUUCUGAUGCCACUCCAGCUGCUGCCACCCCUGGUGCAACUCCAGCUGGGAUGACUUGGGAUGCUACGCCAAAGCUUGGUGGGCUAGCUACCCCUACUCCCAAACGGCAAAGAUCAAGAUGGGAUGAGACACCAGCUACCAUGGGAAGUGCCACCCCACUGCCAGGUGCUGCAACUCCAGCUGCAGCCUUCACUCCUGGAGUCACUCCCAUUGGCGGGGUUGAUUUAGCAACUCCAACUCCUGGAGCUAUCAAUCUUCGGGGUCCUAUGACACCAGAACAGUAUAAUUUGCUGAGGUGGGAGAGGGAUAUUGAAGAGAGGAACAGACCUUUGACUGAUGAAGAGCUUGAUGCAAUGUUUCCUCAGGAGGGUUACAAGAUCCUUGAACCCCCAGCUUCUUAUGUUCCUAUCAGGACUCCAGCAAGGAAGCUUCUUGCUACUCCAACUCCUAUUGGCACACCACUUUAUUCUAUCCCUGAAGAGAAUCGGGGGCAGCAGUUUGAUGUUCCCAAGGAGGCACCUGGUGGGUUGCCGUUCAUGAAGCCAGAGGAUUAUCAGUACUUUGGUGCUCUUUUGAAUGAGGAGGAAGAGGAGGAACUGUCACCUGAGGAGCAGAAGGAGAGGAAGAUUAUGAAGCUUUUGCUAAAGGUGAAGAAUGGUACUCCUCCCCAAAGGAAAACUGCAUUGAGGCAACUUACUGAUAAGGCUAGGGAAUUUGGAGCAGGUCCUCUCUUCAACAAAAUCCUGCCUUUGCUUAUGCAACCUACUCUUGAAGACCAAGAGAGGCAUCUCUUGGUGAAGGUUAUUGACAGGGUGUUGUAUAAGUUGGAUGAGUUGGUUCGCCCCUUUGUGCACAAGAUUCUUGUGGUUAUAGAGCCUUUACUGAUUGAUGAGGACUAUUAUGCUCGUGUUGAAGGAAGAGAGAUCAUUUCUAAUCUAAGCAAAGCUGCUGGCUUGGCUACUAUGAUUGCAGCAAUGAGGCCUGAUAUUGAUAACAUUGAUGAAUAUGUGAGGAAUACUACUGCAAGGGCUUUCAGUGUGGUGGCUUCUGCAUUGGGAAUUCCUGCUCUGUUGCCUUUUUUGAAGGCUGUCUGUCAAAGUAAAAAAUCGUGGCAAGCACGACACACUGGCAUUAAAAUUGUGCAACAGAUUGCAAUUCUUAUGGGAUGUGCGGUUCUUCCACACCUAAGGUCUUUGGUUGAAAUCAUUGAACAUGGGCUGAGUGAUGAGAAUCAGAAGGUCAGAACAAUUACUGCCCUGUCUCUUGCAGCAUUGGCAGAAGCGGCUGCUCCUUAUGGUAUAGAGAGUUUUGAUUCAGUUCUAAAGCCACUUUGGAAGGGCAUUCGUUCACACCGUGGGAAGGUUCUAGCUGCCUUUUUGAAGGCAAUUGGCUUCAUUAUUCCCCUUAUGGAUGCACUAUAUGCAAGUUACUACACAAAGGAAGUGAUGGUCAUUCUUAUUCGUGAGUUCCAAUCUCCUGAUGAAGAAAUGAAGAAGAUUGUGCUCAAAGUUGUCAAGCAGUGUGUGAGUACUGAAGGUGUUGAAGCUGAUUACAUACGAAAUGAUAUUCUUCCAGAGUUCUUCAGAAAUUUCUGGGUAAGGAGAAUGGCUUUGGAUCGAAGAAACUACAAACAGCUUGUGGAUACUACAGUCGAAAUUGCAAAUAAGGUUGGGGUGGCAGAUAUUGUUGGAAGGGUGGUCGAAGACCUUAAAGAUGAGAGUGAGCCCUACCGGAGAAUGGUUAUGGAGACAAUUGAGAAAGUGGUAUCCAAUUUGGGGGCUUCUGAUAUUGAUGCCCGCUUGGAAGAGCUGCUCAUCGAUGGGAUUCUUUAUGCAUUCCAAGAACAGACAAGUGAUGAUGCAAAUGUCAUGCUCAAUGGAUUUGGUGCAGUGGUGAAUGCUCUUGGUCAGAGAGUGAAGCCUUACCUUCCUCAGAUAUGUGGAACAAUUAAAUGGCGAUUGAACAACAAAAGUGCGAAAGUAAGGCAGCAAGCAGCUGACCUAAUAUCACGGAUUGCAGUUGUCAUGAAACAGUGUCAUGAAGAGCAGUUGAUGGGUCAUUUAGGUGUUGUGCUAUAUGAGUAUCUUGGAGAAGAGUACCCUGAGGUUUUAGGCUCUAUUUUGGGAGCACUAAAGGCAAUAGUCAAUGUUAUAGGUAUGACGAAGAUGACCCCUCCUAUCAAAGACUUGCUUCCUCGGCUGACUCCUAUUCUGAAGAACAGACAUGAGAAGGUCCAGGAAAACUGUAUUGAUCUUGUUGGUCGGAUUGCUGAUCGUGGGGCUGAGUUUGUCCCAGCUAGAGAGUGGAUGAGGAUUUGUUUUGAGCUGCUUGAUAUGUUAAAGGCUCAUAAGAAAGGCAUUAGGAGAGCUACUGUGAACACCUUUGGGUACAUUGCAAAAGCUAUUGGACCACAAGAUGUUUUGGCAACUUUAUUAAACAAUUUGAAAGUGCAGGAGCGUCAAAAUCGGGUUUGCACAACAGUUGCGAUUGCUAUAGUUGCUGAAACCUGCUCCCCAUUCACUGUUCUCCCUGCUCUUAUGAAUGAAUACCGUGUUCCAGAAUUGAAUGUACAGAAUGGCGUUUUAAAAUCUCUUUCCUUUCUUUUUGAGUACAUUGGAGAGAUGGGGAAGGAUUAUAUUUAUGCUGUGACACCAUUACUGGAAGAUGCUUUGAUGGACAGGGAUCUGGUUCAUAGACAGACUGCUGCUUCAGCUGUCAAGCACAUGGCUUUGGGUGUUGCUGGCUUGGGUUGUGAGGAUGCUUUGGUCCAUCUGUUGAACUAUGUGUGGCCAAAUAUAUUUGAAACUUCUCCCCAUGUCAUAAAUGCAGUAAUGGAGGCUAUUGAAGGAAUGAGAGUUGCCUUAGGAGCUGCUGUUGUCCUGAAUUACUGCCUCCAAGGCUUGUUCCAUCCAGCAAGAAAGGUCCGUGAGGUUUAUUGGAAAAUUUAUAACUCUUUGUAUAUUGGAGCUCAGGAUACACUUGUUGCUGCUUACCCUGUGUUGGAGGAUGAGGAGAGCAAUGUCUACAGCAGGCCUGAAUUGAUGAUGUUUGUCUGACACAUUAAUGCUUGCAUGUGCUUAUGCUUGAGAUGAACUUUGUUCCAUCUUUUUGCUGGUAUGACUGGGCUUUUUCGCUCUCUUUCAUUUGCUGCAUUUGGCGGCGGAGGAUGCAUUAGAGAUCACGCUGCCCUUGUGUAAUAUGUUCUCGCUUCAAAUCUUGGAUUUUAAAUUGCAACUCUGGUGCUCUCUUCCAUAUAGACUGUUCACUGUCUUUGGUUCUUUUGAAGCUUAGUUUUGUUAUUUUUUAUCAAUAUGAUGUACAGACUUUCUGCAACUCAGAUGAAUUAUCAACACGCUUUUACAGAAUAUAUUAAUGGAUGUUUUGUGAUAAUCAUUA
Dendrobium catenatum is the source of this 4357-nucleotide RNA transcript. It is a transcript of the gene named splicing factor 3B subunit 1, with no coding region annotated. The record is from RefSeq and is a predicted model, not a curated record. The transcript has 3 exons. NCBI's taxonomy places the organism in Eukaryota, Viridiplantae, Streptophyta, Magnoliopsida, Asparagales, Orchidaceae.